Macadamia integrifolia is the source of this 1050-nucleotide long non-coding RNA. RefSeq lists it as uncharacterized. The record is from RefSeq and is a predicted model, not a curated record. The transcript is spliced from 2 exons. NCBI's taxonomy places the organism in Eukaryota, Viridiplantae, Streptophyta, Magnoliopsida, Proteales, Proteaceae.
GGUGCAGAAGGUAACAUGUGGCGACAACGAUGUGGACAGCUAGGAUGAAGUGAGAGAAGGUGGAGUAUUUGAAACCGAUUUUGCAGAACAAACCAAACCCAAACCGACUUGUUUCCAGACAAAACCAAAUCGGUUUGAGAUGUCAAGUCGAACAUCAUAAAACCCUACACACCUAUUGAUUUCAAACGCAGAUCUCUUGCACUCUCUUCUCUCUCUCGCACUCGCUGUUCUCUGCUACCCAAAUCACUGGAAUCGGCUGAUGUAUGUAUCCUCUCUCGCACUCUUUGUUCUCUCUCUCUCUCUCUCUCUCUCUCUCUCUCUCUCUCUUGCAUUCUUUGUUGUCUCCAAACUCGCACUCUCACUUCUCUCUGAACUCGCCCUCUCUGUUCUCUUUGAACUCGCCCUCUCUGUUCUCUCUGAACUCGCACUCUCAGUUCUUGAAGUUCUUCAUCGAUUGCUUACCUGAACUCACCUGAAACGCCUGACGUGGUUGCGAUCACUGAUCUCUCUCAUCUGAAGCACGCUCUCCCAAAGCUCGUAAGCAAGCAAGAUACGGAUGCACCACAACAACAGAUUUGUAGCUGCGGUGAAGGGAUGAUGGUCAUCCGGACUUCUAGAACGGCCAAGAAUCUUAGGCGAGAUUUUACAGAUGUCCAUUAGGCGAUAAACAUCCCGACUCUUCAAUUUGAUUGGAUUCAACAUCGAGGAAAUACAUGGAGAUGGUAGACACUGGGGCAUGUCAUUCAAAUGAAAGUGUUAAUAGGAACACCCGAGACAUCUUGGUUGUACCUCAAACACCCUAUAGUACACAAGUGCACAACCAAAUACUAGUGGACCAAUCAUUGCUCAACCAUUACUAUGGUGUAACCAUCUUCCUUUAUAUUUGGGUCUUAUUUCUUUCAUGCUAUGUUUUUUAUGUAACAACCUUAUAAUCCAAAAAAUGGAGGAGGGAUCCAGAUCCUUUGUUAUUUUCUAUCAUGUAUUCUAGAUCCUUGGGGUUUUUGAUGUUCUUAUCUCUCAAUUAUACGAACAAGUUUUUUUAUAGGUUAG